This 378-nucleotide unclassified non-coding RNA is filed under the name plant metagenome. RNAcentral describes it as "partial contains 5.8S ribosomal RNA, internal transcribed spacer 2, and large subunit ribosomal RNA". The stretch from base 1 to 105 matches the Rfam family "5.8S ribosomal RNA", at positions 50 to 154 of the family's 154-position model. The record is from RNAcentral.
GAAAUGCGAUAAGUAAUGUGAAUUGCAGAAUUCAGUGAAUCAUCGAAUCUUUGAACGCACCUUGCGCUCCUUGGUAUUCCUUGGAGCAUGCCUGUUUGAGUAUCAUGAAAUCUUCAAAGUAAAUCUUUUGUUAACUCAAUUGGUUUCUACUUUGGUAUUGGAGGUCUUUGCAGCUUCACACCUGCUCCUCUUUGUUCAUUAGCUGGAUCUCAGUGUUAUGCUUGGUUCCACUCGGCGUGAUAAGUUAUCUAUCGCUGAGGACACUGUAAAAGGUGGCCAAGGUAAAUGCAGAUGAACCGCUUCUAAUAGUCCAUUGACUUGAACAAUACUUUUAUGAUCUGAUCUCAAAUCAGGUAUGACUACCCGCUGAACUUAAGC